CUGGCGUUUUUGCAUGAAAGUGUUCAAAAAUGAUUCAGAGUUAGAGCAAAAAAUAGUCUGCAGAGCACCAAUAGUACUGAUCAAUGCCGCAUGUCUUCCCGGUUGUGUUUUUAGAUAGUAUAAAGAUCUUUCUUUACUUUUCGUGGAAGGUUUAAAGUCAUUGUCAAUGAUAACCAUCUCUAUCCGUCUCUGGUUAGAUUUGGCUUUGAAAGCUUUUACGUAUCACUUCAUAAUAUUUACU
Molecule: long non-coding RNA, 241 nt
Filed under: Drosophila guanche
Lineage: Eukaryota; Metazoa; Arthropoda; Insecta; Diptera; Drosophilidae
Source: RNAcentral